This 460-nucleotide ribosomal RNA is filed under the name uncultured bacterium. Its description in RNAcentral is "partial 16S ribosomal RNA". It matches the Rfam family "Bacterial small subunit ribosomal RNA", at positions 338 to 795 of the family's 1533-position model. The record is from RNAcentral.
CCUACGGGAGGCUGCAGUGAGGAAUAUUGGUCAAUGGACGUGAGUCUGAACCAGCCAAGUAGCGUGAAGGAUGACUGCCCUAUGGGUUGUAAACUUCUUUUAUAUGGGAAUAAAAUGUUCCACGUGUGGGCUUUUGCAUGUACCCUAUGAAUAAGCAUCGGCUAACUCCGUGCCAGCAGCCGCGGUAAUACGGAGGAUCCGAGCGUUAUCCGGAUUUAUUGGGUUUAAGGGGAGCGUAGAUGGGUUUUUAAGUCAGGUGUGAAAGUUUGCGGCUCAACCAUAAAAUUGCAAUUGAUACUGGCAGACUGGAGUGCGGUUGAGGUAGGCGGAAUUCGUGGUGUAGCGGUGAAAUGCUUAGAUAUCACGAAGAACUCCGAUUGCGAAGGCAGCUUACUAAGCUGCAACUGACAUUGAUGCUCGAAAGUGUGGGUAUCAAACAGGAUUAGAUACCCUUGUAGUC